AGUGAACGCUGGCGGCAGGCCUAACACAUGCAAGUCGAACGGCAGCACAAGAGAGCUUGCUCUCUGGGUGGCGAGUGGCGGACGGGUGAGGAAUGCAUCGGAAUCUGCCCAUUUGUGGGGGAUAACCUCGGGAAACCGGGACUAAUACCGCAUACGACCUACGGGUGAAAGCAGGGGGUCUUCGGACCUUGCGCAGAUGGAUGAGCCGAUGCCGGAUUAGCUAGUUGGAGGGGUAAAGGCCCACCAAGGCGACGAUCCGUAGCUGGUCUGAGAGGAUGAUCAGCCACACUGGGACUGAGACACGGCCCAGACUCCUACGGGAGGCAGCAGUGGGGAAUAUCGGACAAUGGGCGCAAGCCUGAUCCAGCCAUGCCGCGUGUGUGAAGAAGGCCUUCGGGUUGUAAAGCACUUUUGUUGGGAAAGAAAAGCAGCCGGUUAAUACCCGGUUGUCAUGACGGUACCCAAAGAAUAAGCACCGGCUAACUUCGUG
This 490-nucleotide ribosomal RNA is filed under the name uncultured bacterium. Its description in RNAcentral is "partial 16S ribosomal RNA". It matches the Rfam family "Bacterial small subunit ribosomal RNA", at positions 29 to 507 of the family's 1533-position model. The record is from RNAcentral.